Long non-coding RNA from Numida meleagris (helmeted guineafowl), 539 nucleotides. RefSeq lists it as uncharacterized. NCBI's taxonomy places the organism in Eukaryota, Metazoa, Chordata, Aves, Galliformes, Numididae. The record is from RefSeq and is a predicted model, not a curated record. The transcript is spliced from 3 exons.
CAUCAGCCCUCCCCUCCGCCUGCAGCCAGCACCUGCUGCAUCUCCUUGUGCUGAUGGCUCCCACCUGCUGCAGCACUGCAAGAGGAGCCCGUUGGGGCCUCGUUGACCUCACCUGGGCCCACACCCACCCACGGGCCCCAUUUAAGCUCAGCCCUGGAAGGCAGCUCUGUAUUUGAGUGUGGGUGCUGUGCAUUGUUUUCAUGGUGGCUUUUGGGGGACCUGCAUGGUGGCAUCCCCCCAGCCCUGCUUGUUCCAUGCAAGGAUCUGUGCCUGUCUGACUGCUUGCUGCACUGGGGACCUGCCAGCAGCCCUGCUGUGACUGCACCCACCUUGUCCUUCUGCUCCUAAUGCAGUGCCAACAUACAAACAUGAACUGUAUCAACAGGACUGCUGCUUAAAUUCUGGUAGUGUUGCAGUGGUGCAACCCCACUGAGACUGUUUGGCACAUUAAGGCUCUCGUCGUGUGCUCUGCUCCACUGCUGCUGGGAUGUGCCCACUCUGACACGUUCGCCUUUUGACACUUGAAAUAUGCAGACACU